This 71-nucleotide transfer RNA is filed under the name Pangasianodon gigas (Mekong giant catfish). RNAcentral's name for it is "tRNA-Arg". It matches the Rfam family "tRNA". Rfam says of the family: Transfer RNA (tRNA) molecules are approximately 80 nucleotides in length. Their secondary structure includes four short double-helical elements and three loops (D, anti-codon, and T loops). Further hydrogen bonds mediate the characteristic L-shaped molecular structure. tRNAs have two regions of fundamental functional importance: the anti-codon, which is responsible for specific mRNA codon recognition, and the 3' end, to which the tRNAs corresponding amino acid is attached (by aminoacyl-tRNA synthetases). tRNAs cope with the degeneracy of the genetic code in two manners: having more than one tRNA (with a specific anti-codon) for a particular amino acid; and 'wobble' base-pairing, i.e. permitting non-standard base-pairing at the 3rd anti-codon position. The record is from RNAcentral. Lineage: Eukaryota; Metazoa; Chordata; Actinopteri; Siluriformes; Pangasiidae.
AGCUUGAGCUCAGUCGGUAGAGCAUCAUACUUCUAAUCUGAGGGUCCAGGGUUCAAGUCCCUGUUUGGCUG